This 781-nucleotide ribosomal RNA is filed under the name bacterium. RNAcentral describes it as "bacterial SSU rRNA". It matches the Rfam family "Bacterial small subunit ribosomal RNA", at positions 672 to 1453 of the family's 1533-position model. The record is from RNAcentral.
GGUGUAGCGGUGAAAUGCGUAGAGAUCUGGAGGAAUACCGGUGGCGAAGGCGCCCCCUUGGACAAAGACUGACGCUCAGGUGCGAAAGCGUGGGGAGCAAACAGGAUUAGAUACCUUGGUAGUCCACGCUGUAAACGAUGUCGACUUGGAGGUUGUUCCCUUGAGGAGUGGCUUCCGGAGCUAACGCGUUAAGUCGACCGCCUGGGGAGUACGGCCGCAAGGUUAAAACUCAAAUGAAUUGACGGGGGCCCGCCCAAGCGGUGGAGCAUGUGGUUUAAUUGGAUGCAACGGGAAGACCCUUACUUAUUCUUGACAUCCAGAGAACUUAGCAGAGAUGCUUUGGUCCCUUCGGGAACUUUGAGCCAGGUGCUGCAUGGCUGUCGUCAGCUCGUGUUGUGAAAUGUUGGGUUAAGUCCCGCAACGAGCGCAACCCUUAUCCUUUGUUGCCAGCGGUUAGGUCGGGAACUCAAAGGAGACUGCCAGUGAUAAACUGGAGGAAGGUGGGGAUGACGUCAAGUCAUCAUGGCCCUUACGAGUAGGGCUACACACGUGCUACAAUGGCAUAUACAAAGAGAAGCGACCUCGCGAGAGCAAGCGGACCUCAUAAAGUAUGUCGUAGUCCGGAUUGGAGUCUGCAACUCGACUCCAUGAAGUCGGAAUCGCUAGUAAUCGUAGAUCAGAAUGCUACGGUGAAUACGUUCCCGGGCCUUGUACACACCGCCCGUCACACCAUGGGAGUGGGUUGCAAAAGAAGUAGGUAGCUUAACCUUCGGGAGGGCGC